GGGCUUUAACUUAAUUAAAGUGUCUGAGUUGCAGUCAAAAAAUGUAUUUUAAAGUUAUACAAGUCCU
Molecule: transfer RNA, 67 nt
Filed under: Gekko cf. albofasciolatus
Lineage: Eukaryota; Metazoa; Chordata; Lepidosauria; Squamata; Gekkonidae
Description: tRNA-Ala
Source: RNAcentral